RNAcentral lists this transfer-messenger RNA (360 nucleotides) under Burkholderiales. Its description in RNAcentral is "WAJ17 sp014174515 Standard tmRNA". It matches the Rfam family "transfer-messenger RNA". Rfam says of the family: Bacterial tmRNA, also known as 10Sa RNA or SsrA, is named for its dual tRNA and mRNA-like properties. Its role is to liberate the mRNA from a stalled ribosome. The record is from RNAcentral. Lineage: Bacteria; Pseudomonadati; Pseudomonadota; Betaproteobacteria. RNAcentral also lists the same sequence under 2 other names.
GGGGCCGACCUGGUUUCGACGUGGGUGCGGAUCCGGAGUAGGGCAUGCCGAGCACCAGUUCGCUCGUAAAUCCACUGGAAAAAACUACCUGCAAACGACGAAAAGUUUGCCCUCGCUGCUUAAUUAGCACGAGGCUCCGCAACAGUUGGCCUAUGGGCUGGGGUGGCAACACCUGCGGAGUCAUUCACAUAGGCUGGUCGCCGGCCGGGCUGUACGGCAGGCGACGAGAUUAUUCAGCUGGCGGCGUCCAAAGCGUGCUCCUGCGCGUUGGCACCGUGAGAAUCAAAUCAGAGAGCUAAGCAUGUAGAACUGCCCGGUGAUGGCUUGCGGACGCGGGUUCAAUUCCCGCCGGCUCCACCA